UCUACCAUGGCACUGCCCUCUGGAACCUCAUCCCUCUGGAAAUAAGGUUUACCUCAAUCCUGGUGGCCUUGGCCUCACUGAAACUUGUGGCCCUGGGUAUGUGACUAUUACUUGACUAUGCUGAGCCUUAAUCACCAUGCAGUUUCUAACAAUUAUGCUGCACAUCCAUAACAAAAUCCAAGGUUGGGGCAAUAGAUUCUGAACUUGUUCCUGUGACCCUUUAUUUAAAAUGAUCUACAACUCCUUUUAUAUACAGAGGGAAGGGGAAUAAUGCCCCUUUUCUGAUUUGUGGACUUCAACUCCCAGAAUUCCUGAGCCAGCUGGACUGAAUAUCCUUGGCAAAGGACACCAUAUACAGUACAUAUCUCUCUUUGCCUAUACUCUACAUUGCACUGCUUGUCCUGGAAAGGAAUAAUAUGAUCGGUAUGUACCUAUGGAAAUUUUUUGGAUAGUCAAAGGCUGCAGAUACUAGGAAGAGGCUGUUAGGGAAGAAAUUGAAAGUUUUA
Molecule: non-coding RNA, 506 nt
Organism: Pseudonaja textilis
Lineage: Eukaryota; Metazoa; Chordata; Lepidosauria; Squamata; Elapidae
Source: RefSeq, a predicted model, not a curated record